RNAcentral lists this unclassified non-coding RNA (2138 nucleotides) under Leishmania donovani. RNAcentral's name for it is "gene:LdHU3.36.6000(CDS-product:hypothetical_prote in_conserved)". Lineage: Eukaryota; Euglenozoa; Kinetoplastea; Trypanosomatida; Trypanosomatidae. The record is from RNAcentral.
UUUUCUCCAAUCCCAGUCGACCCACAGCCACUCAUAGACGCACGCUAUGGAGGACGCAUGUCUAUUCCAGCCGCAGAUCAACCCACGCAGUAGGCGCCUUGCCCGGCAUGCGCCGACGCUCCGCGAGCGCCAGGAACAAGAUGCGCAGCGGCGGUCUGCUGGUCGUGAGGGCCACCACGGGCAGCCGCUGCGAGGGGCACCAACGCCGAGCCCCGGGCCAGAGGCUUUCGCUGCGGACACGGAGAGCGACAUUGUAGAGUCUGUGUGGGGUCUCUGGCGCGGCGUGGCGAUCAGGGAGGCGCGCGAGACCGAAGCUGCCUUGGUGCGCCGCGUGCAUUCCGUGAACAACGACGACCUUCUCCCACAGCGUCGGCCGCGCGUGGUGUACGUAACGGCGGUGCUUGGGAUGCUAAAUGCACUCGGCAUCACCUCACCCCGGCACGAUGCCCUGAUCGCCAAGUUUCUCAAGGCAAUGGCAGUCGAAGGAGGCGCUUCGGAAGCCACCAAGCGCGACGCAACGGUCGACGCGGCGCGGUUCGAGUACGUCUUCUCUACAGUCUGGCGGGCAGCCGUCACACACCGCACGCCGUGGUCUCCUGUCCCAGCGCAAGUAAGCGUGUCGCCGCGUUCGCCACCUGCGGUACAGCAGUGCGGCAACUCCCCCAAUGCAGCAACAAUGCGCCACGCCUACCCUAGGGAAGUCUCACGCCGAGGGGUACCACCGUCACACAUGAAGGCGGCGCCAGCGACAGAGGUGGGCAGCAGCGGUGGCAGUGGCUCAGCCGUGAGCGCAAGGUCAUCGUCCUCACCCUCCGCCGUGUGCAGUAGUAGCAAAGGCGGCGAGGAAGCAGCACACUCGGGCACAGAGAGCGCAUCGCCGCUCACCAGCUGCGGAAGUGGUGACGAAAGGAGAAGUGACGCAGCGGAGAGCGACGCUGACUUUCUGCGCACCAACAUUUACGACGCGUCGCCGAGUAUCCCAGACUCCUCGGAGAAGCCGCAAGCUGGUGCGCGCAGCAAGGAACUGUCGCCGAUGUCCGUGGAGCCGUCGGCGGGGCUCGAUCCCAGUCCGGAGCCGCGCAACCCAGGCGAGCCAGUCAUCACGCCAGCCCGCUCAAGCGUCACACCCCGCACUCAUCAUUGCUCUCCGUUCGCCGCAGCUUCGCGGUUCGGCAGCGCAUCCGUAUCACGCAGUCGUCGCAUGAGUUCCUCCUUGCGCGUAAUACCGAGUGACUCGCAUCUGCUCUCGAGCACCACUAGCAGGGAACUCAAGAGGGCGACGAAGCGCGUGCCUGGCGGGCUGAUGCGCGAGUGCACCUUCAAGCCUGUCAUCAACACCGUCUAUGAGCAGAUGCCUGUUAGCUUCAGCAGCACAGCUAUCGUGCAGAGGCGCAAGUCCGCGUCGACCGCGCGGCCCACCUUCCAGCCGAACACGCAGCAGUUUCACCAGGCGCGCGACAGCCUUGCGUGUUGGACGAGACAACCCGUCAAAGACAGCGGCGACUACCUGGGCGAAGCAGCGGCAAACCCCUUGGCGACUGGCGUUGAGACAGCGGUGCGCCGCAUGAUCGCCGCGCGCCAGCAGCAGCAGCGCUCGCAGUCACCUAGGCCAAGCCUCCAAAAGGGGAGCCACCACUCAGCGCCCGCGCCGCAGUCGGCCGUGCGGGCACCCGUGGCGCACCCGCGCAAGCCGCUGCUCUAUGUUGACGUCGAUCUCCCUCAAGGCCAGCGAGACCGCCUUGCCUUGUACACAGGGGACGACGUACAGGACGUAGCGCAGCGCUUCAGCAUCCUGCAUGGGCUCAGCGAAUCCCUGUGCCAGCGGCUGGAGACAGCGCUGACAGCAGAGCUCUGUGCCCUCUCGGUUGGAAAGGCAGCAUAGAUCAUUAUUUUGUGUAACGUACGCACGUCACCCGUGCAUUACCCGUCUUCACCCAGGCGCGCAAAAAAAAAAGUGGAAAGAAACACAAAAGGAGGAGGACACGUGUGCAUCAGCUGAACCGUUGCAAUCGCCACCCGUCGCGCACGGCGGCCGCCGACGAAUCACCCCAUCCGCCCCUUAGCCCUGACCCCGCGCACCACCGACACCCUCGCACACACACCCAAUAGGGCUCCCCCCUCCCCCCUCUUCGUUGCAG